Molecule: ribosomal RNA, 468 nt
Filed under: uncultured bacterium
Lineage: Bacteria
Description: partial 16S ribosomal RNA
Rfam family: Bacterial small subunit ribosomal RNA
Source: RNAcentral
GACGAACGCUGGCGGCGUGCCUAACACAUGCCAGUCGAACGGAAAGGCGAUGCUUUUGCGGGGUGCACGAGUGGCGCACGGGUGAGUAAAACGCGAGUAAAACGCACCUGACUUUGGGAUAACUCCAGGAAAAAGGGGCGCAAAUAGGAUAGGAUCUCUUGCAGCAUGGGGGGGGUUGGAAAAAUUCGGCGGUUGGGGCUGGAAUCGCGGCUUACCCGCUUGAUGGGCAGGUAGGGGCUUACAAGGGCUUUGAAGGGUAGGCCGCCUGAGAGCGUGACCGGCCUCAAUGCGACUAAGAUACGGCCCAGACGCCUACGUGCGGCAGCGGUGGGGAAUAUUACACAAUGGGCGGAAGCCUGUUACAGCAACGUCGCGUGCGUGAUGACGGCCUUCGGGUUAUAAACCACUUUCGCCUUAGCCGAGGCGUGCGUGACGGUAAUUAGUAAAGAAGCACCGGCUAACUACGUG